CUUCAUGAUGAUGAGGGCUAGCCAGUCUGCACUAAGGAUGAGAGUAUGGACCAACAGAGGUCAUGCUGCACUAAAGAACACAUUCCAAAGAUAUCCUAUGUAAAAUGGCAAAAUGUCUCGCUAACUCCAAAGGUUCUCAGGGAAAUUAAAAAGAAGUCUGGGCUUGCCUUUCCUGUAAGUGUUCCAGGGUACUGUCUGUCGUGGAGGAGAUGUCACUGUGGAGUGUUCCAGGGAACUGUCUGUUGUGGAGGAGAUGUCACAGUGGUGGCAGGAGCUUGAAGCUGGCAGUUAUGUUGACUCCACAUCAAGGAAGGACAUAGAGUGGGAUGCUGGAGCUCGGCCCACUCUAUCCUUUUUCUGUGGUCUCAGUCCAGGGAAUAGUGUUGGGCACAUACAGGGAAGGUCCCACCACCUCAGUUAAUCUAAUCGAGCAAAUCCCUUA
Peromyscus californicus insignis is the source of this 442-nucleotide long non-coding RNA. RefSeq lists it as uncharacterized. NCBI's taxonomy places the organism in Eukaryota, Metazoa, Chordata, Mammalia, Rodentia, Cricetidae. The transcript has 3 exons. The record is from RefSeq and is a predicted model, not a curated record.